AUGGCUGACCACCACAGAGACAGGGGCGUCCUAGGCGGCGGCGGCGCCUUCGGCGACCGCAGUGGCCACGGAGGCUACGGCAGCGACCACCACGAGCAGCACCAGCAGAAGCAGCCGGCGAUGAUGUGCGCGCUGAAGGCCGCGACGGCGGCCACGGCCGCCGGGUCGCUGCUGGUGCUGUCCGGGCUGAUCCUGGCGGGCACCGUCAUCGCGCUCACCGUGGCCACACCCGUGCUGGUCAUCUUCAGCCCGGUGCUGGUGCCGGCGGCCAUCGCGCUGGCGCUCAUGUCCGCCGGGUUCGUGACGUCCGGCGGGCUGGGCGUGGCGGCGCUGUCCGUGUUCUCGUGGAUGUACAAGUACCUCACCGGCAAGCACCCGCCGGGCGCCGACCAGCUGGACCACGCCAAGGCGCGGCUCGCGUCCAAGGCCCGCGACAUCAAGGACGCCGCGCAGACCCGCAUCGACCAGGCGCAGGGGGCUUGA
RNAcentral lists this ribosomal RNA (483 nucleotides) under Triticum aestivum (bread wheat). RNAcentral describes it as "partial small subunit ribosomal RNA". The record is from RNAcentral. Lineage: Eukaryota; Viridiplantae; Streptophyta; Magnoliopsida; Poales; Poaceae.